GAAGUGCGAUAAGCAAUGCGAAUUGCAGAACCGUGAGUCAUUAGAGUUUUGAACGCAACUGGCGCCGGUGGGACAUCCUGCCGGCAUGCUUGUUUCAGUGUCUCCUCAAUCGUGAGAUCUACGGUCUCAAUCUUAAUGCGAGAGAUGUCUUCUCUUGUGAAGUACGAUCUAGCACACUGCAACCUGCACGCGACUUCGGUCGCCCUGAAUGCAGCAGACACCUCGUGUGUACUCAUUCAGAGCAUGUAGCAGACAGCGAAAGCGACGUGCUCGGAGCGAAUACCUUUCUCUGUAUCUGAAAUCAAGCAGGACCACCCGCUGAACUUAA
Molecule: unclassified non-coding RNA, 328 nt
Filed under: uncultured fungus
Lineage: Eukaryota; Fungi
Description: sequence contains ITS1
Rfam family: 5.8S ribosomal RNA (bases 1-103)
Source: RNAcentral